Molecule: ribosomal RNA, 101 nt
Filed under: uncultured bacterium
Lineage: Bacteria
Description: partial 16S ribosomal RNA
Rfam family: Bacterial small subunit ribosomal RNA
Source: RNAcentral
ACCAUGAGAGUCGAUAACACCCGAAGCCUGUGAGCUAACCUUUUAGGAGGCAGCAGUCGAAGGUGGGAUUGAUGAUUGGGGUGAAGUCGUAACAAGGUACC